Molecule: ribosomal RNA, 253 nt
Filed under: uncultured bacterium
Lineage: Bacteria
Description: partial 16S ribosomal RNA
Rfam family: Bacterial small subunit ribosomal RNA
Source: RNAcentral
CACGUAGGGCGCAAGCGUUGUCCGGAAUUAUUGGGCGUAAAGAGCUCGUAGGCGGUCUGUUGCGUCCGCUGUGAAAACUCGGGGCUUAACCCCGAGCCUGCAGUGGAUACGGGCAGACUAGAGGUAGGUAGGGGAGAAUGGAAUUCCCGGUGUAGCGGUGAAAUGCGCAGAUAUCGGGAGGAACACCAGAGGCGAAGGCGGCGACCUGGACAAGUACUGACACUCAACUACGAAAGCGUGGGGAGCAAACAGG